ACUGCCCCUAGAGGGAUUGCAGGUGUGGCUGCUGUGUCACAUGUGCAUCAGUAGAUGGCAGAGAGGAGAGAGGCUGUAUCUGCACUCAGUGUUCUGACCUGUGAACAUCUGAAUGAUGAGUAGCCUAACACC
Molecule: small nucleolar RNA, 132 nt
Organism: Acomys russatus (golden spiny mouse)
Lineage: Eukaryota; Metazoa; Chordata; Mammalia; Rodentia; Muridae
Product: small nucleolar RNA SNORA17
Exons: 1
Source: RefSeq, a predicted model, not a curated record